This 1515-nucleotide ribosomal RNA is filed under the name metagenome. Its description in RNAcentral is "bacterial SSU rRNA". It matches the Rfam family "Bacterial small subunit ribosomal RNA". The record is from RNAcentral.
AGAGUUUGAUCCUGGCUCAGGACGAACGCUGGCGGCGUGCCUAACACAUGCAAGUCGAACGGAUUUGUGAGGUGUGAGGUUAGAGGUUAGAGGUGAGAAAUUCUAAGGAAGAAAUCGGCGCAGGCCGAUUUCAACAAGAUUCUCACAUCCAACUUCUCACCUCGCACUUCGCAAAUUAGUGGCGGACGGGUGAGUAACGCGUGGAUGACCUACCUAUAUGUGGGGGAUAACAGUUGGAAACGACUGCUAAUACCGCAUGUGAUCACAAUUAUAAAGGUUGUGAGGAAAGAUGGCCUCUGUUUACAAGCUGUCGCAUAUAGAUGGGUCCGCGUCUGAUUAGCUAGUUGGUAGGGUAAAGGCCUACCAAGGCGACGAUCAGUAGCCGGCCUGAGAGGGUGGACGGCCACACUGGGACUGAGACACGGCCCAGACUCCUACGGGAGGCAGCAGUGGGGAAUAUUGCGCAAUGGGGGAAACCCUGACGCAGCGACGCCGCGUGAGCGAAGAAGGCCUUAGGGUUGUAAAGCUCUGUUGUAAGGGAAGAAAGGCAACCGGAGUAAUAUGCUGGUUGUAUGACGGUACCUUACGAGGAAGCCCCGGCUAACUACGUGCCAGCAGCCGCGGUAAGACGUAGGGGGCGAGCGUUGUCCGGAAUUACUGGGCGUAAAGAGCACGUAGGCGGAUAUUUAAGUCAGUUGUGAAAGACCGCGGCUCAACCGCGGGGUUGCAAUUGAAACUGGGUAUCUUGAGGGCAGGAGAGGUCAGUGGAAUUCCUGGUGUAGCGGUGAAAUGCGUAGAAAUCAGGAGGAACACCAGUGGCGAAGGCGGCUGACUGGACUGGCCCUGACGCUGAGGUGCGAAAGCGUGGGUAGCAAACAGGAUUAGAUACCCUGGUAGUCCACGCCGUAAACGAUGGAUACUAGGUGUGGGAGGUAUCGACCCCUUCCGNNNNNNNNNNCCUUACCAGGUCUUGACAUCCAGAGAAUCCUUUGGAAACAAGGGAGUGCCUUUUUAAGGAGCUCUGAGACAGGUGGUGCAUGGUUGUCGUCAGCUCGUGUCGUGAGAUGUUGGGUUAAGUCCCGCAACGAGCGCAACCCUUGCUAUUAGUUGCUAACAGGUGAUGCUGAGCACUCUAAUGGGACUGCCCGUGACAAGCGGGAGGAAGGUGGGGAUGACGUCAAAUCAUCAUGCCCUUUAUGAUCUGGGCUACACACGUGCUACAAUGGGUGGUACAGAGAGCUGCGAAGCCGUGAGGUGGAGCGAAUCUCAAAAAGCCAUUCUCAGUUCGGAUUGCAGUCUGCAACUCGACUGCAUGAAGUCGGAAUCGCUAGUAAUCGCGAAUCAGCACGUCGCGGUGAAUGCGUUCCCGGGCCUUGUACACACCGCCCGUCACACCACGAAAGUCGGCAACACCCGAAGCCGGUGACUCAACCAGAAAUGGAGAGAGCCGUCUAAGGUGGGGUUGGUGAUUGGGGUGAAGUCGUAACAAGGUAUCCGUACCGGAAGGUGCGGAUG